UACGUAGGGGGCAAGCGUUGUCCGGAUUUAUUGGGCGUAAAGAGCGUGUAGGCGGCCAAGCAGGUCCGCUGUGAAAACUCGAGGCUCAACCUCGAGAUGUCGGCGGAAACCGUCUGGCUAGAGUCCGGAAGAGGAGAGUGGAAUUCCUGGUGUAGCGGUGAAAUGCGCAGAUAUCAGGAAGAACACCUAUGGCGAAGGCAGCUCUCUGGGACGGUACUGACGCUGAGACGCGAAAGCGUGGGGAGCGAACAGG
This 253-nucleotide ribosomal RNA is filed under the name uncultured bacterium. Its description in RNAcentral is "partial 16S ribosomal RNA". It matches the Rfam family "Bacterial small subunit ribosomal RNA", at positions 524 to 776 of the family's 1533-position model. The record is from RNAcentral.